CCUACGGGCGGCAGCAGUGGGGAAUAUUGGACAAUGGGGGGAACCCUGAUCCAGCCAUGCCGCGUGUGUGAAGAAGGCCCUCGGGUUGUAAAGCACUUUCAGUGAGGAAGAACGCCUGGUGGUUAAUACCCGUCAGGAAAGACAUCACUCACAGAAGAAGCACCGGCUAACUCCGUGCCAGCAGCCGCGGUAAUACGGAGGGUGCUAGCGUUAAUCGGAAUUACUGGGCGUAAAGCGCGCGUAGGUGGCUUGAUAAGCCGGUUGUGAAAGCCCCGGGCUCAACCUGGGAACGGCAUCCGGAACUGUCAAGCUAGAGUGCAGGAGAGGAAGGUAGAAUUCCCGGUGUAGCGGUGAAAUGCGUAGAGAUCGGGAGGAAUACCAGUGGCGAAGGCGGCCUUCUGGACUGAAACUGACACUGAGGUGCGAAAGCGUGGGUAGCAAACAGGAUUAGAUACCCUAGUAGUC
This 465-nucleotide ribosomal RNA is filed under the name Vreelandella stevensii. Its description in RNAcentral is "partial 16S ribosomal RNA". It matches the Rfam family "Bacterial small subunit ribosomal RNA", at positions 338 to 795 of the family's 1533-position model. Lineage: Bacteria; Pseudomonadati; Pseudomonadota; Gammaproteobacteria; Oceanospirillales; Halomonadaceae. The record is from RNAcentral.